CUCUGGAACAAUACCACUUUGGGUUACAAUGUCACCAGAAAUCACAAACUAAACAGUGCUGGGACUGGUCAGUAUUUGAAUAGGAGACCUCUCAGAAAAACCCAGAUGCUGCAAGUA
This 117-nucleotide ribosomal RNA is filed under the name Chelonoidis abingdonii (Abingdon island giant tortoise). The record is from RNAcentral. Lineage: Eukaryota; Metazoa; Chordata; Testudines; Testudinidae.